Molecule: ribosomal RNA, 253 nt
Filed under: uncultured bacterium
Lineage: Bacteria
Description: partial 16S ribosomal RNA
Rfam family: Bacterial small subunit ribosomal RNA
Source: RNAcentral
UACGUAGGGGGCUAGCGUUGUCCGGAAUCAUUGGGCGUAAAGCGCGCGUAGGCGGCCCGGUAAGUCCGCUGUGAAAGUCAAGGGCUCAACCUUUGAAUGUCAGCGGAUACUGCCGGGCUAGAGUCCGGAAGAGGCGAGUGGAACUCCUGGUGUAGCGGUGGAAUGCGCAGAUAUCAGGAAGAACACCAACGGCGAAGGCAGCUCGCUGGGACGGAACUGACGCUAAGGCGCGAAAGCGUGGGGAGCGAACAGG